AUAGCAUUAUCAGUUAUACAGAAAUACACGUUAGGAAACUAUCUUCAGGAGGACCUGGAUGAGUUCAUUUAUACAGUCAUCACAGAUCACCCCUAAGCUCUACUUCAGUUAGAGAAGGCUGUAAAUUCAGCAUCUGCACUGAUAUGAACAGGAACAGGAUCAGUUUCAGAGGAUUUCUAAAUACAUACAGAUUCUGUGAUCAUGUCUGGACUUUUGUAUUGAAUGAUGUUAAACUCAGAGAGAUGGCAGAGGUUAUCAAAGUGAAUAAAGUGAAAAUUGUAGCCUGUGAUGGUAAAAAUAUAGGCUCCAAAUAUUACAGAAUGA
RNAcentral lists this long non-coding RNA (324 nucleotides) under Homo sapiens (human). RNAcentral describes it as "non-protein coding lnc-DMRT2-5:1". Lineage: Eukaryota; Metazoa; Chordata; Mammalia; Primates; Hominidae. The record is from RNAcentral.